Molecule: ribosomal RNA, 3387 nt
Filed under: Triticum aestivum (bread wheat)
Lineage: Eukaryota; Viridiplantae; Streptophyta; Magnoliopsida; Poales; Poaceae
Description: partial small subunit ribosomal RNA
Source: RNAcentral
AUGCAGCGGCUGCUGGCGAGCUCGGUCGUGGCCGCCGCGCCGCGGUGGCUCCCCGUUGCCGACUCGAUCCUCCGGCGCCGCCGCCCGCGCCGUUCCCCGCUCCCCAUCAUGCUAUUCAACAGGUCUUGGUCCAAACCAAGGAAGGUUUCACGGAGCAUUUCGAUGGUGUCUAGUAAGGUGAACAAACAGGGGGAUCUCUGCAACGAAGGCAUGCUGUCUCAUAUUAUGUGGUGGAAAGAGAGAAUGGAGAGCUGCAGGAAACCAUCCUGUGUGCAAUUGACUCAGAGACUCGUGUAUUCGAACAUAUUAGGGUUGGAUCCAACUUUAAGGAAUGGAAGCUUAAAGGAUGGAACCCUGAACAUGGAGAUGUUACAAUUCAAAUCGAAGUUUCCUCGCGAGGUCCUACUUUGCAGAGUAGGAGAUUUCUACGAAGCCAUUGGGUUUGAUGCCUGCAUUCUUGUAGAGCAUGCGGGCUUAAAUCCUUUUGGAGGCUUGCGUUCUGACAGUAUUCCAAAAGCUGGAUGUCCAAUCAUGAAUUUGCGGCAAACAUUGGAUGAUUUGACUCGGUGUGGUUAUUCUGUGUGCAUAGUUGAGGAAAUUCAAGGCCCAACUCAAGCCCGUGCCCGGAAAGGUCGAUUUAUUUCUGGCCAUGCACAUCCUGGUAGUCCUUAUGUAUUUGGGCUUGCUGAAGUAGACCAUGAUCUUGAGUUUCCUGACCCAAUGCCGGUAGUUGGGAUUUCACGCUCCGCGAAAGGCUAUUGCUUGAUUUCUGUGCUAGAAACCAUGAAAACUUAUUCAGCUGAGGAGGGCCUAACAGAGGAAGCCAUAGUCACUAAGCUGCGUAUAUGCCGUUAUCAUCAUUUAUACCUUCACAGUUCUCUGAGGAAUAAUUCUUCAGGGACAUCACGCUGGGGAGAAUUUGGCGAGGGAGGGCUCUUGUGGGGAGAGUGCAAUGGAAAGUCUUUUGACUGGUUUGAUGGUUCUCCUAUUGACGAACUUUUAUGCAAGGUAAGGGAAAUAUAUGGCCUGGACGAGAAAACUAGUUUUCGCAACGUCACUAUCUCGUUGGAAGGGAGGCCUCAACCUUUAUAUCUUGGAACUGCUACUCAAAUUGGAGUGAUACCAACUGAGGGGAUCCCCAGUUUACCAAAAAUGCUACUCCCUCCAAAUUGUGCCGGGCUUCCAUCAAUGUAUAUAAGAGAUCUUCUUCUUAAUCCUCCAUCUUUUGAUGUUGCCUCUGCAAUUCAAGAGGCUUGCAGGCUCAUGUGCAGCAUAACUUGUUCGAUUCCAGAAUUUACUUGCAUACCAUCAGCGAAGCUUGUGAAAUUACUUGAGUCAAAAGAGGUUAAUCACAUCGAAUUUUGUAGAAUAAAAAAUGUCCUUGACGAGAUUAUGUUAAUGAAUGGAAACACUGAGCUUUCAGCUAUCCAGAACAAAUUGCUCGAACCUACUUCGGUGGUUACUGGGUUGAAAGUUGAUGCUGAUAUACUAAUUAAAGAAUGUAGAUUUAUUUCCAAACAUAUAGGUGAAGUGAUAUCUUUAGCUGGCGAAAGUGAUCAGGCAAUAACUUCAUCGGAAUAUAUUCCCAAGGAGUUCUUUAAUGAUAUGGAGUCAUCUUGGAAGGGGCGUGUGAAAAGGGUCCAUGCUGAAGAAGAGUUCGCUAAUGUUGAUGUCGCUGCUCAGGCAUUAUCAACAGCGGUCACUGAAGAUUUUCUGCCAAUUAUUGUAAGAGUAAAAGCCGUGAUGUCCUCGCAUGGGAGUUCUAAAGGGGAAAUCUCUUACGCAAAAGAACACGGGGCUGUUUGGUUUAAAGGGAGGCGACUCACACCAACUGUGUGGGCCAACACACCUGGUGAAGAACAGAUAAAACAAUUAAAGCCUGCGAUUGAUUCAAAAGGUAGAAGAGUUGGGGAAGAAUGGUUUACAACAACCAAAGUUGAGAAUGCUUUAGCCAGGUAUCAUGAAGCUUGUGAUAAUGCAAAAUGUAAAGUUCUAGAGCUAUUGAGAGGUCUUUCAAGCGAAUUACAGGACAAGAUCAAUAUCCUUGUCUUCUGCUCGACGUUGCUCAUCAUAACAAAAGCACUUUUUGGUCAUGUUAGUGAGGGUCUAAGAAGGGGCUGGGUGCUUCCUGCCAUAUAUCCCUUAUCUAAGGAUUAUAGUAUGGAAGAAAGCUCAAGCGAAAUGGAUUUAUUAAGACUCUUUCCUUACUGGCUUGAUACUAAUCAAGGGAAUGCAAUACUGAACGAUGUCAACAUGCGCUCUUUGUUUAUUCUGACUGGUCCAAAUGGUGGAGGUAAAUCCAGUAUGUUGCGAUCAGUCUGCGCGGCUGCAUUGCUUGGAGUAUGUGGCCUGAUGGUGCCAGCUGCUUCAGCUGUCAUCCCACACUUUGAUUCCAUCAUGCUGCAUAUGAAGGCCUAUGAUAGUCCAGCUGAUGGGAAAAGUUCGUUUCAGAUUGAAAUGUCAGAGAUACGAUCUUUAGUUAGUCGAGCUACUGGCAGGAGUCUUGUUCUCAUUGAUGAGAUUUGUAGAGGCACAGAAACUGCAAAAGGAACCUGUAUAGCUGGUAGCAUCAUUGAAAGGUUGGAUGAUGUUGGCUGCCUGGGCAUCGUAUCAACCCAUUUGCAUGGCAUUUUUGACCUGCCUCUUUCACUCAACAAUACUGAUUUCAAGGCUAUGGGAGCAGAAGUGGUCAACGGGUGCAUUCAGCCAACAUGGAGACUUAUGGAUGGUAUCUGUAGAGAAAGCCUUGCUUUUCAAACAGCCAGGAAGGAAGGUAUGCCUGACUUGAUAAUUAAAAGAGCAGAGGAGCUAUAUUUGACCAUGAGCAGAAGCAACAAACAGACAUCAUCAACAGCCCACCAUGGGCCUUCCGUUGGCUACUCCAAUGUAAAUGGCUUGGUUGGUAUGCCUGAUAGUCUGGGAAAUAUGUUCGAACCUCCAUCAGGUACUUUUGGACUGCUGCGAAAGGAUGUUGAGAGCAUUGUUACCGCAAUAUGCAAAGAUAAACUGUUGGAUCUCUACAACAAGAGAAGCAUCUCAGAACUGGUUGAGGUGGUCUGCGUUACUGUAGGUGCUAGGGAGCAACCGCCACCUUCAACUGUUGGCAGGUCCAGCAUCUAUAUCAUCAUCAGACGUGACAACAAGCUCUAUGUUGGACAGACGGAUGAUCUCGUGGGCCGUCUUGGUGCUCAUAGAUCCAAGGAAGGUAUGCAGGAUGCCACGAUAUUAUACAUCUUGGUUCCUGGCAAGAGCGUUGCCUGCCAACUGGAGACUCUUCUCAUAAAUCAGCUACCCUCGAAAGGUUUUAAGCUCAUCAACAAGGCAGAUGGCAAACAUCGGAACUUUGGUAUGUCUGUAACCUCUGGAGAAGCCAUGGCUGCGCACUGA